This is a long non-coding RNA of Bos taurus (domestic cattle), 1236 nucleotides long. The record is from Ensembl. Lineage: Eukaryota; Metazoa; Chordata; Mammalia; Artiodactyla; Bovidae.
AGGGAGGGUACAUGUAUAUAUACUUAUGGUUGACUCAAGUUAUUGUAUGGCACAAACCAACACAACAUUGUAAAGCAAUUAUCCUCUAACUAAAAAUGAAUUUUAAAAAUCAAACUAUUGCGGAAAAAAAGUUUUCAAGAUUAAAGGAAAAAAAUCAAAGUAACUGGUAAUUGACCCCGUGGACUGCAGCCUACGAGGCAGCAGCAGCAGAUGAGACUGGUCCUUUGGCAGAAACAUCAUUUAGUGUUGUUCUUGAAGAAGAACAUAUAAAACCCUUUACUAAUGCAGCUUAUGUUUAUAUUAGGAGCUAUGAUCAUAGAAACAUACAGGUACAAACACACACAUGCAAACUGUGUUCUGUGCUCUAAUCAUUUAAGAAAAAGAGAUUUAAGCCAGAGAAAAAGGAAAACAGAGACUUGGGUACAGAGAGAAUAUUUUAAGCUGAUCUAAUGAAGUGGAGUACUUAUUUUCAUACCAUUUUAACAUGCUUAUGCUAAAGAUCUUAUGGAGUUGGGAUGUAUUUCUGUGACAACAGGCACACUUCAGGGUGCGACCUUUGCAUACUUGCUCACCUGACUACGUGAAAUUAGCAUGGGCUCAGUGGAUGGAUGAGAAUCCCAAGCUGCUCACCUGGACACUGAUAGGAUUUCUGGUGAAGGACAAGAGCUUCCAUGACUGCAGUGUAACCCAGACCAUCACAGCGGUGUUUGUUUAUCAUUCAAGACUCCAAGUCUUAAUAAUAUAAACAUCAAAAUGAUCCCAGCACAGAAAGAAUUAAGACUCCAUCUACUUCCACCUUCCUCUUAGAAAUACCAAUAUUAAUAUUAUAGAAAAUCAAAGAAAGCUAGAUUGAAAUCCAAAUAGUGAAUUUGCAUCACCUUUUCUUCACUUUUGGGGGGAAAUAAUUAUUUUUACAACAUGUUUAUUGAACAUAUUUGGCUUAUAUUUACAAAAGGGGUUUCCCAGUGGGUGCUAGUAGUAAGAACCCACCUGCCGAUGCAGGAGACAUGACAUGCAGUUUGAUCCCUGGGUCAGGAAGAUCCCCUGGAGAAGGACAGGGCAAUCUGCUCCAGUAUUCUUGCCUGGAGAAUCCCAUGGACAGAGGAGCCUGAUGGGCUACACUCCGUAGGUCAAAAAGAGUCAAACACAACUGAAGUGACUUAACAUACAUGUACAUAUUUACAAAACAAAAACACUGCUUUCAGGGGCUAGAUUUAAAAAAGAAAAAAGAUGCAC